This 284-nucleotide ribosomal RNA is filed under the name uncultured Actinomycetales bacterium. RNAcentral describes it as "partial 16S ribosomal RNA". It matches the Rfam family "Bacterial small subunit ribosomal RNA", at positions 504 to 786 of the family's 1533-position model. The record is from RNAcentral. Lineage: Bacteria; Bacillati; Actinomycetota; Actinomycetes; Actinomycetales.
UGUGCCAGCCGCCGCGGUAAUACGUAGGGUGCGAGCGUUGUCCGGAAUUACUGGGCGUAAAGGGCUCGUAGGUGGUUUGUCGCGUCGUCUGUGAAAUUCCGGGGCUUAACUCCGGGCGUGCAGGCGAUACGGGCAUAACUUGAGUACUGUAGGGGUAACUGGAAUUCCUGGUGUAGCGGUGAAAUGCGCAGAUAUCAGGAGGAACACCGAUGGCGAAGGCAGGUUACUGGGCAGUUACUGACGCUGAGGAGCGAAAGCAUGGGUAGCGAACAGGAUUAGAUACC